AGAGACAGCAGUAGCCGCGGUAAUACGUAGGUGGCAAGCGUUGUCCGGAAUUAUUGGGCGUAAAGCGCGCGCAGGCGGAUAGGUCAGUCUGUCUUAAAAGUUCGGGGCUUAACCCCGUGAUGGGAUGGAAACUGCCAAUCUAGAGUAUCGGAGAGGAAAGUGGAAUUCCUAGUGUAGCGGUGAAAUGCGUAGAUAUUAGGAAGAACACCAGUGGCGAAGGCGACUUUCUGGACGAAAACUGACGCUGAGGCGCGAAAGCCAGGGGAGCGAACGGGAUUAGAUACCCCCGUAGUCCCUGUCUCUUAUACA
RNAcentral lists this ribosomal RNA (309 nucleotides) under uncultured bacterium. RNAcentral describes it as "partial 16S ribosomal RNA". It matches the Rfam family "Bacterial small subunit ribosomal RNA", at positions 504 to 809 of the family's 1533-position model. The record is from RNAcentral.